RNAcentral lists this non-coding RNA (28 nucleotides) under Homo sapiens (human). Lineage: Eukaryota; Metazoa; Chordata; Mammalia; Primates; Hominidae. The record is from RNAcentral.
UAAACACAGGGUGCUGACUGGUGUGUUU